GUAGAAGUUGUAGAGAGCCGAGAUCUCACCACUGCACUCCAGCCUGCGUGGCAGAGCAAGACUCUGUCUCAAAAAAAAAAAAGAAAAAAAGAAAAAUAAUCCACUCUUUGAAAGCCUGUCAUAUGUAUGUAUAUGUUAUGUACAAAGUCAAUCACAUUAAACAGUUAAAGGAAACAGUUCAUGAAUGCAUCUAGAUAAAUGCUGAAAAUAUAUUUAAUACAAAUUAAGUGCCAACCUCAGAUUCAAACUAGAAUUGCAGGCAGCUCCCUUACCAUAAUAAUAAUUACUUAUAUGAAACCAAUAGCCAAUGUCAUACUUAACAAUGAAAUACUACAGGCAUUCAUCUGAAGCCAGCCCUGACAUUUCCAUUCUUUUCUUUUCUUUUCUUUUUCUUUUUUUUUUUUUUUUGAGACAUCAUCCCGCUCUGUCGCCCAGGCUGGAGUGCAGUGGUGCGAUCUCGGCUUACCGCAAGUUCCACCUCCCGGGUUCACACCAUUCUCCUGCCUCAGCCUUCUGAGAAGCUGGGACUACAGGCGCCCGCCAUCAUGUCCGGCUAAUUUUUUUGUAUUUUUAGUAGAGACGGAGUUUCACAGUGUUAGCCAGGAUAGCCUUGAUUUCCUGACCUUGUGAUUCGCCCGCCUCGGCCUCCCAAAGUGCUGGGAUUACAAGCGUGAGCCACUGCGUCUGGCCUCCACUCUUUUGAAAAUCUUUACCAAGGGAUGUCUUGGUUCUCUUUCAAUGGCGGAGACAGCAUAUGUGUUUGUGCAUUACUUGAAGAUCUUCCACUCUACCAGAUGAAACUGGGAAAGGACAAUGUACCAAAGAGUAUCCAAGCACAGAAGGGAAUCUCAGUUUGAAGUUAGAAUUGAAUCCAAGAGGAAGAGAAGCAUCCUUCCUUCAGUGCCUUUGUGGUGGUGCUUGGUGAGAGAUAGUGGUGAAGGCAUUGCCUAAAGAGAGAGGCACUAACAGGCAGAGGAGUGGUUGAGACCAGUAAGAACUGCCCUGCCUGGUGGAGCAGAGGCAGAAGCUGAUGCCCAGGCUCUGCAGCAUCUAUAGGGAACUUGGUGCCUGCAGUGCUCAUCAAAUGAUCCAGAGGCCUCCUUGAACACUGCAAAACCCAGAAGAAAUUACCAUGCCAACGGAGCAGAACCAGAUCCUUUGGGGAAACACAGCGCUGGUGGAAGAACUAUAGCUCCAGCCACAGCUGAACUACAUUUUCUAGCAAUCCUCAGAAUAAGAUGUGGUCAUUGACUGAAUUCUGGACAAUGGAAUGGAGUAGAGUGAAAUACAUCACUCCUAGGUUUGGCCUGUCAAAUCUCAUGCACAAUUCUGUACAUUCAUGUGCCAGCCUCUCCUCGGGUGGGGACUCCAAGCACUUUGGAGUUGGUGGAGCCACAAGAUGGAUCUGAGAUCUUUGCUAAGGUAGGGUUUCCCUGGCUGGCCUAUAGCUGACUGUGACAUAAGAGAGAAAUAAAUUUUGAUUUUCUUAAGCUCCCAAAAGUUUUGAGAUUGUUUGUUACAGCCAUGAGUCUUCCCUGAUUAAUACAAAUGCAAUGUCUAUUCUGUGCCAGCCUUAUUCUGGGUACUAGGGAUGCAACAGGAAACAAAUAAGAGACAUGAUUCCUCCUCUCACAGGAGAUACCUUAUAAAAGGGGUGGCACACAAUAAACAGUGACAACUUACAUUUGCAUGGUGCUUUACUGUUUACACAGUGCUUUCAUGGGCACCAACUCAUUUAAUUUUUUUUUUUUUUUUGAGUUGGAGACUUGCUCUGCUGCCCAGGCUGGAGUGCAGUGGUGCAAUCUCGGCUUAUUGCAACCUCUGCCUUCCAGGUUGAAGCGAUUCUCCUGCCUCAGCCUCCCGAGUAGCUGGGAUUACAGGUGCAUGCCACCGCACCUGGCUAUUUUUUUUUUUUUAUUUUCGGUAGAGACGGGGGUUUCUCCAUGUUGCCGAGGGUGGUCUCGAACUCUUGACCUCAGGUGAUCCACCUGCCUUGGCCUCCCAAAGUGCUGGGAUUACAGGCAUGAGCCACCGUGCCUGGCCCAAUUUUUAUAACAAUAUUUUACAGAUAAGGAAACAAAAGCUCAAAGAUUUUAAGUGUCUUGUAUGAGACAAGGAAUUACGAACUAGACAAAUCAAUCAGUUUUCUGGCUCCCAACCCAUUACUCACAAUGAUUCUCAAGUAUGAGGAUAUGACAGAGCAAGGAAAGUGCUAAUCCUUGUUAGAAAAUUCCAUUAUUCAAUUUUAUGUCUUAAAAUAAUGUAUUCCACACAAGUGUAAGUCUAUUCAUGGAAGCAUUGAUUGUAAGGGCAAAAUACAGAAAACAAAGAUUUAAAUAUCCAUUCGUAAGAGAAUGCACAUAUUGUGAUAUAUUCAGAGAACAGAAAAUUAUAUGGUAGGGAAAAUAAAGAAAUUAGGGAUUCAAGUAUCCCUAAUUUCAAGGAUGAAUCUCACAAUCAUGAUGAAGAAUAAUGAAGGCAAGAAUGAAGAGUACAGAGUAUAAUGCCAUGACAAAGGUUUAAGGUCUUCAUGGGAAUGAUAAACACCAAAUUUAGGAUAGUGACUCUGCAGAAGAGAAGAAGGCCGAUGCAAUCAGAGAGAGUUAUGCUGAGGAGAUCAACUGUAUUGGCCAUAUUUCAUUCUUAAGCUGGGUGGUGAAUAUUACAUUAUUCUGGAUUAUCUUCCUUUUGUCCGUCUGAAUCUGUUUUCUACCUUCUCAUUUCUGCCCUCUGUCCUGAGAGGCUGACUUGUGUGGUCUUCUAUAGGAUCAAUGGGCUCCUUGUCCCAGCUUUCAGAAGAUCAUAAGGUGGAAGAGAAUGAAGUCUCAGCUUCCUGACUUUUUAGGAUGACUUUGGGCUGGCCAGGUCUCUUAAGCAGAGGUCACAUCUCCUGUUUGGAGGCCCUCUCUACCCAGCCCACUGUGAGUUUUGGUAAUUGCCCAGUCCCCUUGUGCCUGCAGGGCCAGAAAUGGAAAUGUCCUAUUGUUAACACUCAGUUACUACACCAUUCCUUACAGUUUUCCGAAACCCUGCCACCCAAGCUGGAGUGCAGUGGCUGGAUCAUAGCUCACUGCAGCCUUGAACUCUUGGGCUCAAGCAAUGCCAGGGAGCUGAAGCUAAAGGCAUAUGCUACCACCUGUGGCUAAUUUUAACUAUUUGUUUUUAA
This 3166-nucleotide long non-coding RNA is filed under the name Homo sapiens (human). RNAcentral describes it as "HSALNT0075334". The record is from RNAcentral. Lineage: Eukaryota; Metazoa; Chordata; Mammalia; Primates; Hominidae.